GGCCUCAUCGUCUAACGGUUAGGACAUUGCCUUCUCAAGGCAAGAAUCAGAGUUCGAUUCUCUGUGAGGUCA
Molecule: transfer RNA, 72 nt
Filed under: Patescibacteria group bacterium
Lineage: Bacteria
Also listed under: 1 other name
Description: tRNA-Glu
Rfam family: tRNA
About the family: Transfer RNA (tRNA) molecules are approximately 80 nucleotides in length.
Source: RNAcentral